UCCGAAUUGGUGUAGUGGUUAACAUUUCACGCUCUCAAAUCACGCUUUCAAUCAUACGAAAGCGUACUUGAAGUACCGUGGAGCCCGGGGUUCGAUUCCCCGAUUCGGAG
RNAcentral lists this transfer RNA (110 nucleotides) under Xylariaceae sp. FL1019. RNAcentral's name for it is "tRNA-Glu". It matches the Rfam family "tRNA". Rfam says of the family: Transfer RNA (tRNA) molecules are approximately 80 nucleotides in length. Their secondary structure includes four short double-helical elements and three loops (D, anti-codon, and T loops). Further hydrogen bonds mediate the characteristic L-shaped molecular structure. tRNAs have two regions of fundamental functional importance: the anti-codon, which is responsible for specific mRNA codon recognition, and the 3' end, to which the tRNAs corresponding amino acid is attached (by aminoacyl-tRNA synthetases). tRNAs cope with the degeneracy of the genetic code in two manners: having more than one tRNA (with a specific anti-codon) for a particular amino acid; and 'wobble' base-pairing, i.e. permitting non-standard base-pairing at the 3rd anti-codon position. Lineage: Eukaryota; Fungi; Ascomycota; Sordariomycetes; Xylariales; Xylariaceae. The record is from RNAcentral.